AAAUUGAAGAGUUUGAUCAUGGCUCAGAUUGAACGCUGGCGGCAGGCCUAACACAUGCAAGUCGAGCGGUAGCACAGAGAGCUUGCUCUCGGGUGACGAGCGGCGGACGGGUGAGUAAUGUCUGGGAAACUGCCUGAUGGAGGGGGAUAACUACUGGAAACGGUAGCUAAUACCGCAUAACGUCGCAAGACCAAAGUGGGGGACCUUCGGGCCUCAUGCCAUCAGAUGUGCCCAGAUGGGAUUAGCUAGUAGGUGGGGUAACGGCUCACCUAGGCGACGAUCCCUAGCUGGUCUGAGAGGAUGACCAGCCACACUGGAACUGAGACACGGUCCAGACUCCUACGGGAGGCAGCAGUGGGGAAUAUUGCACAAUGGGCGCAAGCCUGAUGCAGCCAUGCCGCGUGUGUGAAGAAGGCCUUCGGGUUGUAAAGCACUUUCAGCGGGGAGGAAGGCGGUGAGGUUAAUAACCUCAUCGAUUGACGUUACCCGCAGAAGAAGCACCGGCUAACUCCGUGCCAGCAGCCGCGGUAAUACGGAGGGUGCAAGCGUUAAUCGGAAUUACUGGGCGUAAAGCGCACGCAGGCGGUCUGUCAAGUCGGAUGUGAAAUCCCCGGGCUUAACCUGGGAACUGCAUUCGAAACUGGCAGGCUAGAGUCUUGUAGAGGGGGGUAGAAUUCCAGGUGUAGCGGUGAAAUGCGUAGAGAUCUGGAGGAAUACCGGUGGCGAAGGCGGCCCCCUGGACAAAGACUGACGCUCAGGUGCGAAAGCGUGGGGAGCAAACAGGAUUAGAUACCCUGGUAGUCCACGCCGUAAACGAUGUCGAUUUGGAGGUUGUGCCCUUGAGGCGUGGCUUCCGGAGCUAACGCGUUAAAUCGACCGCCUGGGGAGUACGGCCGCAAGGUUAAAACUCAAAUGAAUUGACGGGGGCCCGCACAAGCGGUGGAGCAUGUGGUUUAAUUCGAUGCAACGCGAAGAACCUUACCUGGUCUUGACAUCCACAGAACUUUCCAGAGAUGGAUUGGUGCCUUCGGGAACUGUGAGACAGGUGCUGCAUGGCUGUCGUCAGCUCGUGUUGUGAAAUGUUGGGUUAAGUCCCGCAACGAGCGCAACCCUUAUCCUUUGUUGCCAGCGGUUAGGCCGGGAACUCAAAGGAGACUGCCAGUGAUAAACUGGAGGAAGGUGGGGAUGACGUCAAGUCAUCAUGGCCCUUACGACCAGGGCUACACACGUGCUACAAUGGCAUAUACAAAGAGAAGCGACCUCGCGAGAGCAAGCGGACCUCAUAAAGUAUGUCGUAGUCCGGAUUGGAGUCUGCAACUCGACUCCAUGAAGUCGGAAUCGCUAGUAAUCGUAGAUCAGAAUGCUACGGUGAAUACGUUCCCGGGCCUUGUACACACCGCCCGUCACACCAUGGGAGUGGGUUGCAAAAGAAGUAGGUAGCUUAACCUUCGGGAGGGCGCUUACCACUUUGUGAUUCAUGACUGGGGUGAAGUCGUAACAAGGUAACCGUAGGGGAACCUGCGGUUGGAUCACCUCCUUACCUUAAAGAA
Molecule: ribosomal RNA, 1550 nt
Filed under: Klebsiella pneumoniae
Lineage: Bacteria; Pseudomonadati; Pseudomonadota; Gammaproteobacteria; Enterobacterales; Enterobacteriaceae
Also listed under: 1 other name
Description: bacterial SSU rRNA
Rfam family: Bacterial small subunit ribosomal RNA
Source: RNAcentral